CCCUGUAUUCGAAAGUGAUCAUGGGCUGCCCGUGCCCUGGUCAUUGAUAGUGCAGGGAGAGGAGUCAAUGAAAGCGCUUCCCCGUGUUUGGAGGGUCCACUCCUGUCCCUUGCAAACUCUGGAGCUUUCGUACA
This 134-nucleotide small nucleolar RNA is filed under the name Saimiri boliviensis boliviensis (Bolivian squirrel monkey). Its description in RNAcentral is "Small nucleolar RNA SNORA71 (ENSSBOG00000000712.1)". It matches the Rfam family "Small nucleolar RNA SNORA71". From Rfam's summary of the family: The members of this family belong to the H/ACA class of snoRNAs which bind a number of proteins (including dyskerin, Gar1p and Nop10p) to form snoRNP complexes. This class of snoRNAs are thought to guide the sites of modification of uridines to pseudouridines by forming direct base pairing interactions with substrate RNAs. Lineage: Eukaryota; Metazoa; Chordata; Mammalia; Primates; Cebidae. The record is from Rfam by way of RNAcentral.